UUCUCGGGAAAAAAAUAUUGG
Molecule: non-coding RNA, 21 nt
Organism: Caenorhabditis elegans
Lineage: Eukaryota; Metazoa; Nematoda; Chromadorea; Rhabditida; Rhabditidae
Source: Ensembl